RNAcentral lists this ribosomal RNA (615 nucleotides) under uncultured bacterium. Its description in RNAcentral is "bacterial SSU rRNA". It matches the Rfam family "Bacterial small subunit ribosomal RNA", at positions 254 to 880 of the family's 1533-position model. The record is from RNAcentral.
GAGGUAAUGGCUCACCAAGGCGACGACGGGUAGCCGGCCUGAGAGGGCGACCGGCCACACUGGGACUGAGACACGGCCCAGACUCCUACGGGAGGCAGCAGUGGGGAAUACUGGGCAAUGGAGGAAACUCUGACCCAGCGACGCCGCGUGAGGGAUGAAGGCCUUCGGGUUGUAAACCUCCUUCAGUAGGGAAGAAGCGAAAGUGACGGUACCUACAGAAGAAGCACCGGCUAACUAUGUGCCAGCAGCCGCGGUAAUACAUGGGGUGCAAGCGUUGUCCGGAAUUAUUGGGCGUAAAGAGCUCGUAGGUGGUUCGAUACGUCGGAUGUGAAAAUCAGGGGCUCAACCCCUGACCUGCAUCCGAUACGGUCGAGCUAGAGUUUGGUAGGGGAGACUGGAAUUCCUGGUGUAGCGGUGGAAUGCGCAGAUAUCAGGAGGAACACCGAUGGCGAAGGCAGGUCUCUGGGCCAAUACUGACACUGAGGAGCGAAAGCGUGGGGAGCGAACAGGAUUAGAUACCCUGGUAGUCCACGCCGUAAACGGUGGGCGCUAGUUGUGCGAACCUUCCACGGUUUGUGCGACGCAGCUAACGCAUUAAGCGCCCCGCCUGGGGAG